RNAcentral lists this unclassified non-coding RNA (240 nucleotides) under soil metagenome. RNAcentral's name for it is "partial contains 5.8S ribosomal RNA, internal transcribed spacer 2, and large subunit ribosomal RNA". The record is from RNAcentral.
AAGACUAUAGACCUGCGGAGUACCUGCGGAGGGAUCAUUAGUGAAUUAGCACCCAGGGAGUCCCUUUCUCGCCGAAAGAAGGCCCGCUAUCCACUUAUUUCUCACACGUGUGAACUGUUCUUGAGCUUGGACGCUCGGGGGUGUACCCUUGUCAUGAGGGUCUGCUUUCCCUGUCCAGCUCUCUUAACUUAACCCUUUUGUGUUUGCAAAAGUCUUUGAAUUACAAUUGAUCAAAUGAAA